Galeopterus variegatus (Sunda flying lemur) is the source of this 1389-nucleotide long non-coding RNA. RefSeq lists it as uncharacterized. The record is from RefSeq and is a predicted model, not a curated record. Lineage: Eukaryota; Metazoa; Chordata; Mammalia; Dermoptera; Cynocephalidae. The transcript is spliced from 2 exons.
CGGGUGCCGCGGCUUGGGCCGCCUGGCUGAGCUCCUGCUGCAACCAGUCAGGGGCGCCUGCGGAGCCCCUUGAGGGUCAGCGCGCGGUGCAGGCAGCGGUGCUGGGCGUGUUGUCGCUGCUGGUACUCUGCGGGGUCCUGUUCCUGGGCGGCGGCCUCCUCCUCCGCGCCCAGGGUCUGACAGCGCUGCUGGCCCGCGAGUGGCGCGCGUCCCGCGAUGCCGAGCCCGGCGGCGCCAGCGGAGGCGACGACGACUCCUAGGUGCCUGGUUGCGCUUGGGGGUCGCGGCCUCCAGGUGACUUCGGACUCCCGCCGCCCAAGCGCGCGUCCGACGGCCGCUGCAGUCCCGGUGUCUUCCCCCGAGGCGGGUACGCCGCGCACAGAUUCCUGAGCAUGGAAUGAUCUGCCUCCCAGAGAGCUCUCUUUCCAGCCGCCAUACUGGGAACCCCUGCCACCUUUGACCCAUUCACGGUGCAGAUGACAGACUGGGAGACACCUGGACUGUGGUGAGACCUCCACCUGGGAUCCUUGCACCCAGUUGCUGCCUCUGAACUGCUCCACUCAACCUCCUGAAGUACUCCAGGAUGUGGGCUUGGGAGGUCUGCACUCCAGGAGGGGAUAAGCCCAUUUGGCGACCACUGUGUGUCCUGGGCACUGAAGUGGCCGCACACCCUGGAUGCCCAGUGCAGCAGACGCUGGCUGUGCCCUUUGCCUGCUGGGCCUCUGAGAACAUGAGCACAGCCCCUGUCCCAUUUGGUGCAGGGCACAAUGGUCUGACAGGCCAGUGACCUGUCCCUGUGGAGGGCUGUGGGUUGGUGACACAUAUUUGGAAACCUAGAAUGCCCCAGCAAUCCAGCAAUGCCUUGUCACUUUCUAUGACUUGUUAUUAAAUAUGCUGGUAAUGUGAGUUUUGGGUAUACAGUUUGUUUCUAGCCCUUGACUCUUAGAAUUAGUGGUUUGUUUCCCCACUCCACUCCAGUUUUACCUGUUUCUAGAAGAUACUGAAAUAGCAACCCCAGCCAUGGCCCCUCCCCCCUGGUUUCUCCCUAGUGGUGGCCAUUCCCCCUCCCACCCUCACAUCCAAAUCUUUCUGAGGGUGCAUGUGAGGAAGGGUGGAAAGUGACUCUCAUGUCAGCACUUGACUGCCCCUUGUGGCCAGUGUGAAUGAACAGCACUGAUUCAUUCGACCAGACACUGUUGGAGUCUGAUUAGAGUCCUCCCGAGCCCUGCGCUUUCAGAUAAGAGUGGAUUUUGUGUGUGCACCAAAUUCCAGAUUGUAAGCCUUCUUGAUCCUCAGUCUCUUCAUCCAUAAAAUGAAGAAGAUGAUGUUGUUGUGAGGAUCGAAUAUGCAAUAUGCUUGUCCAUUGAUAAAAGGCUUUCUGCACUCUGA